RNAcentral lists this transfer RNA (70 nucleotides) under Dipodomys ordii (Ord's kangaroo rat). It matches the Rfam family "tRNA". From Rfam's summary of the family: Transfer RNA (tRNA) molecules are approximately 80 nucleotides in length. Their secondary structure includes four short double-helical elements and three loops (D, anti-codon, and T loops). Lineage: Eukaryota; Metazoa; Chordata; Mammalia; Rodentia; Heteromyidae. The record is from Rfam by way of RNAcentral.
GGCAUUGUGGCUCAGUGGUAGAGUGCUUGCCUAACAUGCAUGAAGCCCUGGGUUUGAUUCAUCAGUACCA